Long non-coding RNA from Oreochromis niloticus (Nile tilapia), 350 nucleotides. RefSeq lists it as uncharacterized. The transcript is spliced from 3 exons. NCBI's taxonomy places the organism in Eukaryota, Metazoa, Chordata, Actinopteri, Cichliformes, Cichlidae. The record is from RefSeq and is a predicted model, not a curated record.
UGACCUACUGUAAUCUAUCUCUCAUGCGAUGGAAAAGAUGAUUACAUGCACUUUGAGGAUUUAACAGAGAUGAGAAUCUAAACGCUGUUCCAGAGGCUUUCCACCACAAAACGGACAACUUUAUCUCCUGGGUCCUUUUUUAAAGGCUUUGGUGUGAAGAAGGCCUUGAAGGCAUCAAAAGCUGCCUCUGCACUGGACAUGGAAGGUUUUCCUCCAACACCGCCUUCUCGUCUUUCUCAUCUCCUCUCUUUUCCCGACUCAGAAAAUGAGAGAUCUGGUCCAAGAGGCUCCCUGGAACUUUGGUGUCCUUCUGCUUCUCUGUGAAAUCUGCCCCUCGUCCUCCCGCAGGA